UACGAAGGGAGCUAGCGUUGUUCGGAAUUACUGGGCGUAAAGGGCGCGUAGGCGGCUUGAUAAGUUUGAUGUGAAAGCCCUGGGCUUAACCUAGGAAUAGCAUUGAAUACUGUCAGGCUAGAGGCCGAGAGAGGGAAAUGGAAUUGCGAGUGUAGAGGUGAAAUUCGUAGAUAUUCGCAAGAACACCAGUGGCGAAGGCGAUUUCCUGGCUCGGUACUGACGCUAAGGCGCGAAAGCGUGGGGAGCAAACAGG
RNAcentral lists this ribosomal RNA (253 nucleotides) under uncultured bacterium. RNAcentral's name for it is "partial 16S ribosomal RNA". It matches the Rfam family "Bacterial small subunit ribosomal RNA", at positions 524 to 776 of the family's 1533-position model. The record is from RNAcentral. RNAcentral also lists the same sequence under 1 other name.